This is a long non-coding RNA of Canis lupus familiaris (dog), 2557 nucleotides long. RefSeq lists it as uncharacterized. The transcript is spliced from 3 exons. Lineage: Eukaryota; Metazoa; Chordata; Mammalia; Carnivora; Canidae. The record is from RefSeq and is a predicted model, not a curated record.
UUCAACUCCACACUGGCCUUACUCUGUAGCUGCUAUCGCAUUCCUUCAUUAGGUAAUCCCGAGCAGGAGAUGGCAUGGAUGCGUCACAUGACUGUGAUUCAGCGUAUUCAUGGAGCGUGCACCACUGCACUAUUGAAAGUUUCUGGCCAGAACGGGAAUGAAUAUGGAAUGGAAAGAAGAGUUUAUAAGUCACUUGUGUGUGUGCGUGUGCGCAGCACUUCCUGACCCGGCUCCCAGCCGCAGCUGGCGUUCCCAGGCCCGGGGAGGAACUCGGCCUCCACAGCAGUCGGAAUCCUCGAGGCUCCCUAACACCACUGACUCUUCACAUCUGGAAUGUUUUUGCAAAGGGAGUGCCUGUUGCAAAAUUGGCCAGGGAGGUUCACCAAGCUUUAUAGUCUAUUUAUAAAGCGGUUUUUUUUGUCUUAAAGCGAGGCCUGGUAUAUAUGUAUUUAUGUGUAAGAAUGCCUAAUCUUUAAUUAAUAAUUGAUGAAGCCUCAUAUGAAAGGUAAUGGGGUUUUGUUUUUAAAUUUAGCUUCAAAUGCUAAAUUAGCAGUGGAGUAAACAUGCAUCAGGAUAGUCUCAUUAUUUUAGAUUCUACUACUCUGAGGUUUGUGUUAAUUGACUGGACCAAUGUGUACCUCCACUCAAUCAGUCAUCUUCUUUAUAGCAGAAAUUAAUAGCAUUCCCAAACAUUUGAGGUUUUAAAAGAACAGCUCUUAAGCUCUGUAAGUACUUUAUAAGCAACUACUGAAAUGCUCAUUAUAAAUUACUCUUAUCUGUUCAUCACAUCUUUUCUUGAGAGGAAUUAGAGUCUCAAGAAGCUGACAAAACCAACUUUCAACUCCGAGUUCUUAGCAUUCUUUGAAAAAAUGAUUUUAUCAGGUUUUUAUCUUCAGCCCAGUCUUCUGGUUUUUGCCUUUUUUUUUUUUUUAAUCUCCUUCCUCACUAGCCAUGUUCUGCUUGGCUGCUCUUUUAAUUUAUUACCCAUGCAGAGUAUAUGACAGCUAGUUUACACUGAUUUGCAGAUGUCAGAUUUUCCUCAGGCAGUUUAGGUUCUUUUGGAGUGUCACAGAGAUCUGCUUUCUAUUUCCUGGGUUAAAAGUAAAAUCAUCAAGAAGGAAAUAGCCCCUUUUAUGACUUUCCUUCAUUACUAGGAAACCUCUCUGGGACCCCUCCUGGUCACACCAGGGGCUAUGCAAGGAAGAACUUCAUCAUCCUGAACCCCAUCCCCUCUCUCUCCGCCCACAAGCUCCCUGAACCUCUGCUUCCUCCAGUGUCUAUACCAUUCCUCCUCAGAAGGGCUCCACAGUUUUAAAUUUUGCUCUUUGAACUUUUUCUUUCCCAAAGUGAACAAACUGUUUUGAGACUAUUCCUCAUCUUGUAUUCAAGAACAAGGAGCUAUGACUUCAGUCAAACUCUUAGAUACAAACUUUUCUCAAUGGAGAAGCAAUUUGAACCUGGGAUUAAAGUCCAGUCUUUGGAAAACUAUAAAUUCAGGAAGAAUGAUUCCCUCCCCUUCUCUUGCUCCCCUGGACAUCUGGCCAUAUGGACUCUAGUGUUCCCCGAGAGCUGUCGGCCACAGCAGAUCACAUCCCCAGCCUUCCUGUGUGCUGGGGGGCUGCCCUGGCCUCCCCUACCUCCCAUCCCAGCUCCACAUGUGGGAGAUCUUCAAGGCCUUUUCCUUUAUGACUCAGCCCAGCCUGCCUUCCCCUGGAACAGUCCUGUAUGCGGACUUCACCAUGCUGUCUAGGUGCUCCACUCACCACCACCUCCUUCAUAUUCUUACAGGUGAGAUAGAGGAGGAGGAGAUGGACAGAAUCACCGAGGUGCCUGCGAACUGCUCUGUGCUGAGGAGCUCCAUGUGCUCGCUGUCCCCUUUCCGGAGGCACAGCUGGGGUCCUGGGAAGAACGUGGCCAGUGAUGCUGAAAUGAACCAGCGCAGUUCAUUGCGAGUUCUUGGGGAUGUUGUCAGGAGACCUCCCAUUCAUAGGAGAAGUAUGAGCUGGUGUCCCUUUGGUGUGCAAUACUCUGCUGCCCCGAGUGCUGACUUUAAUUACAGAAGUUUCAUCCUAGAAGGCUUGACAGGAGGAGCUGGUGGUCGGAAACAAGCCAUCUUCAUCCCUAGAUAUAAACUCCAUAAACACCAAAGAACUCAGACACCCUUUCAAUGGUGAAGAAAGGGGUGACUCUUUGGUGUCACUUUCAGAAGAGGAUCUGGAAUCAGGCCAGAGAGAACAUAGGAUGCUUGAUCAGCAGGCAUGACACAGAUCUAAACAACAGGGAUUCAAUUACUGUACAUCAGCCAUUUCUUCUCCAUUAACGAAAUCCAUCUCAUUAAUGACAAUCAGCCAUCCAGUGUUGGACCAUUCUCGGCCUUUCCACAGCACCAGUGCCAAUCUGACUGAGAGCAUAACAGAAGAGACCUAUAGUUUCCUGCCACAAAGCCCCUCUAAGAAAGAUUUUGAAGGGAAGAGUGGAACAAAAGUCAGUUGUACAUUCAGCUAUAUCAAGAAUAAAAUGUCCAGCAGUAAGAAGAGCAGAGAAAAGGAAAAAAAGA